RNAcentral lists this ribosomal RNA (599 nucleotides) under Rhytidhysteron sp. RNAcentral describes it as "partial large subunit ribosomal RNA". It matches the Rfam family "Eukaryotic large subunit ribosomal RNA", at positions 43 to 657 of the family's 3401-position model. Lineage: Eukaryota; Fungi; Ascomycota; Dothideomycetes; Hysteriales; Hysteriaceae. The record is from RNAcentral.
UCAAUAAGCGGAGGAAAAGAAACCAACAGGGAUUGCCUUAGUAACGGCGAGUGAAGCGGCAGCAGCUCAAAUUUGAAAUCUGGCUCCUUUGGGGCCCGAGUUGUAAUUUGUAGAGGAUGUUUCGGCGUGGUCCCAGGUCUAAGUUCCUUGGAACAGGACGUCACAGAGGGUGAGAAUCCCGUACGUGGCCGUGGGUACCCGCCAUGUGAAGCUCCUUCGACGAGUCGAGUUGUUUGGGAAUGCAGCUCUAAAUGGGAGGUAAAUUUCUUCUAAAGCUAAAUACUGGCCAGAGACCGAUAGCGCACAAGUAGAGUGAUCGAAAGAUGAAAAGCACUUUGGAAAGAGAGUCAAAAAGUACGUGAAAUUGUUGAAAGGGAAGCGCUUGCAACCAGACCUGCCUGCGGUUGCUCAUCCGGGCUCUUGCCCGGUGCACUCUUCCGCAGUCAGGCCAGCAUCAGUUCUGGCGGUCGGAUAAAGGCGGCGGGAAUGUGGCUCCCCUCGGGGAGUGUUAUAGCCCGUCGUGUAAUGCGGCCAGCCGGGACUGAGGUCCGCGCUUCGGCUAGGAUGCUGGCGUAAUGGUUGUAAGCGGCCCGUCUUGA